Molecule: ribosomal RNA, 254 nt
Filed under: uncultured bacterium
Lineage: Bacteria
Description: partial 16S ribosomal RNA
Rfam family: Bacterial small subunit ribosomal RNA
Source: RNAcentral
UACAGAGGGUGCGAGCGUUGUUCGGAAUUACUGGGCGUAAAGCGCGCGCAGGCGGAUCCUGCAAGUCUGGAGUGAAAUCUCACCGCUCAACGGUGAGGCUGCUUUGGAUACUGCGGAUCUGGAGACCGGUAGAGGCUGGUAGAAUUGCAGGUGUAGCGGUGGAAUGCGUAGAGAUCCGGAAGAACACCGGUGGCGAAGGCGGUCUGCUGGGCCAAGACUGACGCUGAGGCGCGACAGCGUGGGGAGCAAACAGG